Molecule: long non-coding RNA, 1428 nt
Filed under: Homo sapiens (human)
Lineage: Eukaryota; Metazoa; Chordata; Mammalia; Primates; Hominidae
Description: CDH18 antisense RNA 1 (CDH18-AS1)
Source: RNAcentral
GGGGCUGAGGGCGCUCGGCCGCUUCCGGUCCUGCGCUGCGGGCCUCAGAGGACUUGGUGCUCGGCAAACCCAGAGACUCAAACGCCAUGUCCGGGGGGUGGGGGGAGCGGCGGUAGGGGAGAUCCUCACGCUGUGUUCGGCAGCGAGGCGGCGAGACGCGCCGGUUCAGCCGGAGACCGCUGUGGGAACCGCGCCGAACACGCUUUGGGCGGCCAUUUUGUAACUCGAAUCUACCCCCAAAACCAAUUCGAAAAAAAGGGAGGAAAGAAACGCCCCGACAGUGUUCUGAACUGGGUUGAACACACAAAGGAUGCUACAAUUUUCCACUUGUAUACAGGUCCCUCCAAGACUUCGCUUCUCACCAUGAUUCUGACAUUGAUAUGAAAACACACAAGAUUUCACUUCUCACCAUGAUUCUGACACUGAUAUGAUCACUGAAUGACCGUUUUCAGCAAUUCGGGCCUAUAAAAGUGUGAAAUAGAUUUUUUUUGAAAGUCCUAUUGUAUAUUCAAAAUUCUGUAACACUAGUGGUUUUCUUCACCUUGUAGCUUAUUAUGAUAAGCACUAAUUUUGACUCUGACAUUUCAACAGGAGCACUUAGUUAUAGACAACCAGGAAUGUUCAAGAAUGACUCAGGAGUAUUUUAUUGACAAGGUAAUCUUUGAGACCAGGGGGUCCUCCUCCCCCCAGCUGGAGGAAUUACACCUGGGCCCAACUUCCUGAAGUCUCAAGGUGGAAUAUAUCUGGUAUUCUUUGUAACAUAUUUCAAUAUUCAGUAGCCAAGUUCAGGCUAUUUCGUGCCCAAAUAUAUAUUGUUUUUCUCUUAUUUAUAAGAACAGUAUUAAACUGUCCCUAUAAUAUUAGAAAAGAGAAGAAGGGUCUCUUCACUGGAAGAGAAUAUUACAGAGUGUUCAGCCUUAAGUGUUUUCAGGUAUGCUUCAAGUCAAGCAUGCUUCUCUAAAGGUGAUUUAGACAAUGAGGUUCACAGGCAAGUAAGCCCUUCUGCCUACAAGUUGUGGCCUGUUUUGAAGAUUGUUUUUGUUUAGCCAAGCCCUUUAUGUGGCAUACUUAUCUGAGCUUACUUCUAAACACAAUUAGUUGAUGUCUAUAAAAAAAAUUUGAACUCGAUCAUUCCUGGAAACUUAUUUAAAAUGUAAAUAUAUAACUGGAAUUCUUAUUCAAAAGUUAUGUACUUCUUCAUAUUUGGUCCCAAUAAGAGCAGGGUAUUUGUUAUGUUUUACUCUCAGAAUUGACACAACUUAUUUCCAUCUUCCACUACCCUCAGUUUCUUUAACUAUAUCAUCUACUUUGUCUUUUCACAAUUCUUAAGUGAGAUUAUUGAUUUUUCUUUUUACUUCUUGUCAACUCUUUGCUGGUAAGAAUAGACAUAUAAAAUCAUUCUUGUAAUAAAAGGUCAUUCCUGGUGAA